GACGAACGCUGGCGGCGUGCUUAACACAUGCAAGUCGAACGGAAAGGCCCUGCUUGCAGGGUACUCGAGUGGCGAACGGGUGAGUAACACGUGGGUGAUCUGCCCUGCACUUCGGGAUAAGCCUGGGAAACUGGGUCUAAUACCGGAUAGGAGCCAUUUUUAGUGUGAUGGUUGGAAAGUUUUUUCGGUGUAGGAUGAGCUCGCGGCCUAUCAGCUUGUUGGUGGGGUAAUGGCCUACCAAGGCGGCGACGGGUAGCCGGCCUGUGAGGGUGGACGGCCACAUUGGGACUGAGAUACGGCCCAGACUCCUACGGGAGGCAGCAGUGGGGAAUAUUGCACAAUGGGCGCAAGCCUGAUGCAGCGACGCCGCGUGGGGGAUGACGGCCUUCGGGUUGUAAACUCCUUUCGCUAGGGACGAAGCUUUUUGUGACGGUACCUAGAGAAGAAGCACCGGCUAACUACGUG
RNAcentral lists this ribosomal RNA (465 nucleotides) under uncultured bacterium. RNAcentral describes it as "partial 16S ribosomal RNA". It matches the Rfam family "Bacterial small subunit ribosomal RNA", at positions 28 to 507 of the family's 1533-position model. The record is from RNAcentral.